UCGAUUAAUCGUUGCAGCCCUACUAGAUAUCAUCAUGUUUUUCACUUUUUGUAAUGUCUGUUUAUUUUUAAAACCUUCCGAGCUAGAAGUACGAUGUUUUGCAAGCUCCACACUGUUUGGUUCGUGAAUUGGUGCUUUUGAACACAUUUUUAAGAGAAAAAAAUCGUGCACGAAAACUGAGUUUAAAGCGUUUGAUCGUCUUUGCUGAUAUUCGUUGGAUGUUUAUACACAAUUUCUGGAGUCUCUCGGUAGAUUCGUAAUCAGGCAGCUUUUAAUAAACGAUAUUAAGACUGACUUCGGCCGUAAGCUAGGAGUGUUUUUUUGCGAAUAACAUUUUGAACAAACGAUUCAGUGACUUACUUGUGGAGAACUGUGGCAUAACGGCAAAAUCACUUGUUGCUACCGACUGGUGAAACGAAGGAACCUGCUGAAAGAGUUCAAGUGCAGCAGAGACCGAGUGAUGUUUGGACAAGGAAUGAUCCGUAAUGAAAAAACCACAACGGACUGAAAAUGAGGAAACAUGAUGAUGGCACAGUUCUCGGCAGACGCGGGAGGCGUUUUAGUCGCAGUGAAGAGCAAAGGAUGCACAUUAGGGCAAAACAGUAAGUUAUGAAAGCUCAGAGGAUGUGAAUACAGGUUUAGCCUCUGUAACAGCAUUGAUGCAGACUGUAACAGCCAGCCAGUACUGAACAGAGGGAUGUGUGUGGGGAGAUGGAGGGAUGGAG
Molecule: long non-coding RNA, 725 nt
Organism: Labeo rohita (rohu)
Lineage: Eukaryota; Metazoa; Chordata; Actinopteri; Cypriniformes; Cyprinidae
Exons: 4
Source: RefSeq, a predicted model, not a curated record